CGCGGCCUAUCAGCUUGUUGGUGGGGUAACGGCCUACCAAGGCAUCGACGGGUAGCUGGUCUGAGAGGACGAUCAGCCACACUGGGACUGAGACACGGCCCAGACUCCUACGGGAGGCAGCAGUAGGGAAUCUUGCGCAAUGGGCGAAAGCCUGACGCAGCAACGCCGCGUGAGGGAUGACGGCUUUCGGGUUGUAAACCUCUUUCAGUGAUGACGAAAAUGACGGUAGUCACAGAAGAAGGUCCGGCCAACUACGUGCCAGCAGCCGCGGUAACACGUAGGGACCAAGCGUUGUCCGGAUUUAUUGGGCGUAAAGAGCUCGUAGGCUGUUGCGUAAGUCGGAUGUGAAAACUCAGGGCUCAACCCGGAGACGCCAUCCGAUACUGCGCUGACUGGAGUCCGGUAGGGGAGCAUGGAAUUCCUGGUGUAGCGGUGAAAUGCGCAGAUAUCAGGAGGAACACCAGUGGCGAAGGCGGUGCUCUGGGCCGGUACUGACGCUGAGGAGCGAAAGCAUGGGGAGCAAACAGGAUUAGAUACCCUGGUAGUCCAUGCCGUAAACGUUGGGCACUAGGUGUGGGGUCUUCUUAACGGAUUCCGUGCCGUAGCUAACGCAUUAAGUGCCCCGCCUGGGGAGUACGG
Molecule: ribosomal RNA, 639 nt
Filed under: uncultured Iamia sp.
Lineage: Bacteria; Bacillati; Actinomycetota; Acidimicrobiia; Acidimicrobiales; Iamiaceae
Description: bacterial SSU rRNA
Rfam family: Bacterial small subunit ribosomal RNA
Source: RNAcentral